UUUCCGUAGGUGAACCCGCGGAAGGAUCAUUACUGAGUGAGGGCCCCUCGGGGUCCAACCUCCCACCCGUGUUUAACGAACCUUGUUGCUUCGGCGGGCCCGCCUCACGGCCGCCGGGGGGCAUCCGCCCCCGGGCCCGCGCCCGCCGAAGCCACCUGUGAACGCUGUCUGAAGUAUGCAGUCUGAGACAAUUAUUAAAUUAAUUAAAACUUUCAACAACGGAUCUCUUGGUUCCG
RNAcentral lists this unclassified non-coding RNA (236 nucleotides) under plant metagenome. RNAcentral describes it as "partial contains small subunit ribosomal RNA, internal transcribed spacer 1, and 5.8S ribosomal RNA". The record is from RNAcentral.